AUUCCAGCUCCAAUAGCGUAUAUUAAAAUUGUUGCAGUUAAAAAGCUCGUAGUUGGAUCUGCGGUUAGGGCUUGCGGUCCACCACGCGGUGGCACUGCUCGUCCCGACCUACAUCGAAUUGACCCGCGUUGCUCUUCACUGAGUGACCGGGAAGGCUCGAACGUUUACUUUGAAAAAAUUAGAGUGUUCAUAGCAGGCAGUCCGCCCGAAUAAUGUUGCAUGGAAUAAUGGAAUAGGACCUCGGUUCUAUUUUGUUGGUUCUCGGAAUUGAGGUAAUGAUUAAUAGGGACGGCCGGGGGCAUUCGUAUUACGGUGUUAGAGGUGAAAUUCUGGGAUCAUCGUAAGACGAACUACAGCGAAAGCAUUUGCCAAGAAUGUUUUCAUCA
Molecule: ribosomal RNA, 386 nt
Filed under: Nemertea sp.
Lineage: Eukaryota; Metazoa; Nemertea
Description: partial small subunit ribosomal RNA
Rfam family: Eukaryotic small subunit ribosomal RNA
Source: RNAcentral